CACGUAGGGCGCAAGCGUUGUCCGGAAUUAUUGGGCGUAAAGAGCUCGUAGGCGGUCUGUUGCGUCCGCUGUGAAAACUCGGGGCUUAACCCCGAGCCUGCAGUGGAUACGGGCAGACUAGAGGUAGGUAGGGGAGAAUGGAAUUCCCGGUGUAGCGGUGAAAUGCGCAGAUAUCGGGAGGAACACCGGUGGCGAAGGCGGUGGUCUGGGCCGGCACUGACGCUGAGACGCGAAAGCGUGGGGAGCGAACAGG
Molecule: ribosomal RNA, 253 nt
Filed under: uncultured bacterium
Lineage: Bacteria
Description: partial 16S ribosomal RNA
Rfam family: Bacterial small subunit ribosomal RNA
Source: RNAcentral